RNAcentral lists this long non-coding RNA (1119 nucleotides) under Apteryx haastii (Great spotted kiwi). Its description in RNAcentral is "lncRNA (ENSAHAG00000005959.1)". The record is from RNAcentral. Lineage: Eukaryota; Metazoa; Chordata; Aves; Apterygiformes; Apterygidae.
CGUCACGGCCCGGGACGAUGUCACACAAAUGACGUAAAGCCACGGCUGAGUCAGAGCGGCAGCACUGGGGCUGCUGAAGGGAACGAGGGCGACCGGCUGGCACACUGGCGCGACGCUCCGCCCGCCGCCGCAGGCGCCACCGCGGAGCGCCACAGGAAAAGCAACGGCCAAAACCGCCACACCACGAGGGCCACAUCCGGGUCCCCCGCGCAACAACCACCACCGCGCACGCGCCUUCCUCCGCCUCUGGGAGGCGGGACUGAAGCUUCCAACAGCCUUUCUGAUUGGCUGCCGUCCCGGGGGCGACCGGGGAUUAGCCACUGUUUAGGAGGGCGGGCGUUGCCAGCCCGCUGGCCGGCCAUUGGUCAGGACCGCCGGGGAGCCGCUCGCCCGUUGGCGGACCGGCGCGUCCGGUCCGGGGCCGGAGGAGGGUGCCAUUGGCUGGAAAGUAGGUUAGUGGUGCGACGUUGGGUGGCAAGCCAGGCGGAAAGUAGGUCAGGGACGGGGGCUGCCUGCGCCGGGCGCCGCUGCGAGCGUGCCGCGCGCUGCCGAGGGAGGGCGACCCCCUCCCCCCGCGGGGGCGCGCGAGCCCGCGGUGAGCCGUUAACGGGCGGUGGGCGACCGUUGGGGGGGGGCGCGCGCGCGGAGGGGGUGGGCGGCCCGCGCUCCGCGCUGGGGAGGCGGUGGCGUCGCCCCCUGCAGGGUGAGGGGAGGGCAGGGAGCGGCCGGCCCCUCCGCUGCACCCCGGGCCGCCGCCGGCCACCCCCCCCGCCGCUGGAGCUGUGCCCUCCGGCAGGCCACGGGGAGCUACCUGCCCCGGGGGAGGCGGGGGCUGCGGUUUCCCCGGGUGGAGGUGGCCGGGCCCGGGCGGCGGCGGUGCCGGGCAAUGUCCCUCGGAGCCGAGACGGGGCGAGGGGGGCGAGCGCAGCGGCCCCGGCGCGGGCUGUCUCGGUGUGGCGGGACCCGGAGAGGACGGAGCGGGCGCCAGCCGCGGCCGUUUGCAGUCGGCCCCGGCCCCUAGGGCAGAGCCGAAGCCGCGGGGUCCUGGCGGCGGCGCCUCUUUGGGAGGAAGGAAGGGGCGGGAACGGGGGUCCCGGAGCUCGGUGGAGGCAGUGCUAG